This 348-nucleotide ribosomal RNA is filed under the name uncultured soil bacterium. RNAcentral's name for it is "bacterial SSU rRNA". It matches the Rfam family "Bacterial small subunit ribosomal RNA", at positions 26 to 369 of the family's 1533-position model. The record is from RNAcentral.
AGAAUCAACGCUGGCGGCGUGCCUCAGACAUGCAAGUCGAACGAUUAAGACUCCCUUCGGGGAGUGUAUAGAGUGGCGCACGGGUGAGUAACACGUAAGUAAUCUACCUUCGAGUGGGGAAUAACAUCGGGAAACCGAUGCUAAUACCGCAUAAUGCAGCGGCAUCGCAAGAUGACAGUUGUUAAAGAUUUAUCGCUUGAAGAGGAGCUUGCGGCAGAUUAGCUAGUUGGUAAGGUAAUGGCUUACCAAGGCUACGAUCUGUAACCGGUCUAAGAGGACGGUCGGUCACACUGACACUGAAUAACGGGUCAGACUCCGUACGGGAGGCAGCAGUCGGGAAGUUUUGGG